RNAcentral lists this ribosomal RNA (474 nucleotides) under uncultured bacterium. RNAcentral's name for it is "partial 16S ribosomal RNA". It matches the Rfam family "Bacterial small subunit ribosomal RNA", at positions 30 to 507 of the family's 1533-position model. The record is from RNAcentral.
AGUGAACGCUGGCGGUAGGCCUAACACAUGCAAGUCGAGCGGCAGCACAGUAAGAGCUUGCUCUUACGGGUGGCGAGUGGCGGACGGGUGAGGAAUACAUCGGAAUCUACUUUUUCGUGGGGGAUAACGUAGGGAAACUUACGCUAAUACCGCAUACGACCUACGGGUGAAAGCAGGGGAUCUUCGGACCUUGCGCGAUUGAAUGAGCCGAUGUCGGAUUAGCUAGUUGGGGGGGUAAAGGCCCACCAAGGCGACGAGCCGUAGCGGGUCUGAGAGGAUGAACGGCCACCUUGGGACUGAGAGGGGGCCCAGAUGGGGAAGGGUGGGAGAAGGGGGGAAGAUUGGACAAAGCCAGCCCGCGUGAGGCAGAGAGGCCGCGGGGUUGAAAAACGCUUUUGGGGGGAAAAAAAAUCGCGAGAUUGACGCCGCUUUGUUGUGACGGUACCUAAAGAAGAAGCACCGGCUAACUACGUG